RNAcentral lists this long non-coding RNA (10143 nucleotides) under Mytilus galloprovincialis (Mediterranean mussel). Lineage: Eukaryota; Metazoa; Mollusca; Bivalvia; Mytilida; Mytilidae. The record is from RNAcentral.
GAAGCACCAUGCAAAAGGAGAUUAUUCUAUGCAUAUUUCUGACUUUAAUAUUCCUGAACAUACAUACUGUGAAUUCAAGGUAUAGACGAAGAUCAAAAACAUGGCAGCGUAGACAUAGAGGUAAUUUAUCCUUAACAAGCUUAUUUAUUCAACGCAGCUGCCACUCUAAUUGGGAGACAACUAUAUUGGAUUUUGAACUCCGAAGGCAUCAACUGCUGAUUUGAUGGUCGCAAAUUAAGUUUACUCGCGACGGGUAUUUGCGAUCUUCAGAUCACCAAUUGAUGCCGUCGGAGCUAAAAAUACAAUACAGUUAUCUCCAUUCUAAUGAAACUGACAGAAAACAACCUCAAAUCAUACAUUUAAAAUCUGCCAUGCGCCGUCUGCGAGUACAUUUUCAUAUAUUGGUGCGUUAUCGAAUUAAAACAAUGAAGCACUCAAUAUAAGACCAUCUACUAUCUAUCGAAAGUUGAUGUAUCCUGCCUGUACUGCUUUUAAAACAACGAUAACGUUAGAAUGUACACAUAAAGUAACAUGUGUUAAAAGAAAGUAUAUUUUAGUAUCGAUUAGAAAAUCUGUAUUCAAAAUUAGAAACAAUUUCAGCGAACGAUUGUGUUAGUUUUUGUCAGUUUAGGAUUAUGUACAUUCAAAAUAUUCUGUUUUGGUGUUUCAAUGUCUGAAAGCACGAACAAACCUAUUAAUUUUGAUAUUUAGUCUUACUGUUUAACGUUUCAUUUCGUUUUGAUUUGUGACCAUGUCUUUUAGGCUUGUAAUGAGAAGUUUCUCAUUUUCACAAUAGGGACAAUAAUUUUCUCUUUCAAGCAUUUUAUACUCAGUAGUUUUGUCUAUAAAUUACCCGUUUGUAACAUGUACGGCUUUAGCGUUUAGGAACAUCAUUUGGUUAAAAAUAAAUAUUAUGCUCCACUUAUUUUGUGUUUUUAAAUUCAUAUUUUCCCUUUUGUUACCAAUAAAUCAAAAUGUUCAACAAUUAUUCAGUUGAUUCCGAUUGUUCAUCAAGUGUUAAGAGAUCCCAUAAAUCUAUCUGAAUCCAGUUCAAACUGAAGUCCUAUGUAUAAUUUCUGUAAUUUCAAAUUGCUGUUCGAAUUUAUUGGUUUACUGUUCAUUUUCAUGAACAAACUCCUGGCUACUUUCUAUCGCUCACUUUUCAAACAACGGAAAAUAUAUGUACUUAUUUAAUUAAUAAUGUUGACAAAUUGGUAAUAUGUUUGCAUCCUGAAAUUUUAAUUUUAAUACAACUUGCAUUCAAUAAUGUUAUCGGAACUUUGUGAUGAACAGGAACAUCGAGUACAAAUUUGGCAACCAAAAACAUGUGGCUCAUUGCAACAAAGUUAUGGUUCCCUAUUUUCGUACUGUAACGUAGUGAUUAAAAUAAUAUCACGAAUGUCAGAUUCGUCGAAUCUCCUUCAAAUCUUAUUCUUUUUGCAGUAAUAAUUGAUUUUAUUUGACAUGCAAUAUCAAUGAUAAGAUCACUUGUAAUCAAUUUUCUCCUGAUAAAACAUUUUUAAUCAUUUCAACCACAAAGCUUUUUAUACCCCAGACAUAGAUGGUGUUAGUCGUAUUUGUUGCAACUUUCUGGCAAUUUAGUAGUUCCAAUGAUUUUCUACUUUGUAGUAUAAACUGGCCUUCUAAAUGUUUUCAUUCAAGCGUCUCCGAGGGAAGGGAAACAAACAUCGGGCACAUCAAAUCAUUAGCGUGGUAUAUUCGAUAAAUUUUUUCUCGAAUAUUUCAAUUCUUUCCAAAACUGUUUUGAAAGAGGUUUUAGCUGAAAAAUGUUUUGCGGACAAAAAUGAGUUUUGAAAGAAAAAUUGUUUUCGAAAAAGUAAAAGCAUAAACCGAAAGAGGAAAGAAGACUGUAGCUUCUGUUUUGACUUAAUUUAAUCUUAGGAGAAGAUCAAGUAAUAGAAAAUUUAAAGCAAUAAAACAAUAAAUUAUAUAUUUAUUACAUUGAAGGAUAAAAAGAAAAUUAUUGAUUUCCGUCAUAAAUUAUACUGACAUUGUGUUUUCAAUAUUCGUCCAACUACAGUAUUAUGUAUAGGCUAUUUAUGUUGAAUGUAUUAAGUUAAUUUCGAUUUUGAUACACAAUUUAUAAAUCUUAAUAAAUAAGCAAAGAUAAAUUAACAUUAAAAAUGGUCGGUCCAAUUACUGAAACUGAACAGAUUCACUGAAAAUACUGUCUUUUAGUAUCGGAAGAGAUUUUCAACAUAAAAAUCUAACACUUGUUCUAAUGUUUGUCUCUCAUCUGAAUAGGUUAAAAAAAUCAGCUCAUCAAUUUAAUCCAGAAUCAAAUGCGAAAAAUCGUUCAAGACGAUCAAAAGCAGUUUACAGUGUCCAUACGCUUGUUUUGGAGGCUCUAUAUCGUUGAUAUUUCAAGAGUUUUAACUCAUCGUUUAGAAUCGAAACCGAAUGUAAUAUUGGUAACAUUUCCGAAAUUUUUUUAUAAUGAAACAAACAGCAUAACUGAAUGGUCAAAUGAUUCUCUUUUGCUUUAAAAAAAAGAAAAUAAAUAAGAAAAUGCCUGUAAGUAUGACAGUUGUUAUCCAUUCGUUUAAUGUGUUUGAGCUUUUGAUUUUGCCAUUUGAUAAGGGACUUUCCGUUUUGAAUUUUCGUCGGAGUUCGGUAUUUUUGUUAUUUUACUUUUUUCAACUUCACAAACCACAAUCAAACGUUUGUUCUAUAAAUGAUUACCCUUUCAUUACUUCCUGGUAUGAUUUUUUUAUUACAUCUCUUGCUUUUUUUUCUUCAUAUCUUUUAUCAAGUAAAACACUUUUUCAAUAUACAACAUCUUGUAAUAUAAAAAAAAAGCAAAAUAACUUCUGUAUUACAAUUUAUUAAAAACAAAUUCUAUGAAAAUUAAGCAUAUUGCACUACAUGAUCGUUUUUUUUUAACUAAAUGACUUCAAUCAUGUUAACGUAUAGUUUUGAUGUAUAAAAUUAACAAUAAGCUGUGACAGUGUCAUCGACCGUCUUUCGUUACCGAUGAGGAAAACUGUACAAACUGUGAAACCACAGUUUAAACCCAAACCAAAAGCACUGCAUAGUAUACAUGGUAUAUAUGUAAUACCACCACAUGGUAUACAUCGACAUCGGUUUCAAACAAAAAGGGUCGAACAACAAAUAUGUUUCCUGAUUUGAAAGUUGUGGGAAAUAAGCCCAACAUUACGUUGGAGAAAAAAAAUCUGAGUCAUAAACAUCCAUACCGGUAUAUAGGUACUUUGAAUAAUUAUCCUUUUUUUAUUUGGUGUUUCUAUAAAAUAUUUUUGAAAGUUGAGGUGAUAUGAUUACUAAAGCUUGUAAACAGGGAAAAGGGUUGACAAUUUGAUUGGUUAACUCCUAGGGAUAGCUAUUAUCGUAUACUAUGAACAGAAAUUUUAUGUGUAAUUUUGACUUCAGUACUGGACCGGAUAAUAUUUUACUACUUAAUAUGAAAAAAGAGAAUUUCUGCAAAAUCUUUUUGAAAAAUGCCCAUUUAACAAUUUAUAAUAUGGAAAUACAAAGAUGGUAUAACUCCUAUUUGGGGAAGCGGCACAUGCACACUUGACCAUGUACGUACUCUAAACGCUAAAGUAGAAUAUUGCAAAAUUGAAAUAUUCAGAGUGGAUAGAGUCUCAAAAACACAUGUGUUGGAAAAAUCAUUUUAAAGAUAGCUAUGCUAUGAAUAGAGCAAGUCAUACUCAGUAUUUUUGGGAACUUUUUCUGACUUUGUCUUCUUAUUUCGUAUAUUUUGCUAAAAAGAAAGUAUACAGUAAGAUGUAAAUGAAAUGAUUUUUGAAGCAGUACAAACAUUGAUCCACAUUUAAAAUUAAAAACUUGAUUGUUACAGUACAUAAAUUAUACGAUAAGGUUAAGGAAUUGCAAAAGUAAACUAUACAAUAUCAGUACAGAAUAAGUACCAAAAAGCUAUUGUACAUUCAAAGUAAUAAUAUACAAUAACCAUUAAUAUUUAGUACUGGAAAAGUACAUGAUUUUGUAGUACUUGUUUGUUAAUUAUUCAGAUAUAUUUUUAGCUCAAUAGUUCGAGUAAAAAUGUAGUCAUAGAAAAUUAGUGUACUGAAAAAGUACAUGUACGUAGUACUUUUCAGCUACAUUACUAAUAUUUCAAAAUUACAUUACUAAUGGAAAAGGAACUUUGAUUAAGCAGCAGUGUAGUGAAACACCACAUGCAAUUCUUGUUCAUCUUCCCGAUUGUCAUCUCAGAUUCCAAGAAAUUGGUGCACUAAUGUCUCUGUGGGUGAGGAGGUGAGGGAGGGGAGUUAUACUGCCAUCACCAGACGUUGAUGAUGAUAUGUGGAUGUUUUACGUCCGGCUAUCCUGUCUGGAUAUUGCGGACUGAAAAAAACUAUUUACAGACCUGUGUCUGUUUGUCGUUUGGCCUUCAUUUUACUCCGACUGCGUUGUUGUGACUGGUACGGAGUAUCAGGUCGUUCUGUUAGCAUGGCUUUUUGAAUUGCCUCUUUUGAUUCAAUGUGAAGGGCGAUGUGUGUGGUGGUGUGUGCAGUAGGUCUGGGUCGUUGAUGUCAAACCCUUCAUCGAAGUCGAUCCUACUGCGCUUGCCUCUGUCUGUUGUGGAGGUGAAUUAUUCCAGGCGAUGGCAGGCCUUGUUGGGGUUGUAAGGACUGGUGACAAUAUCACAUGAAGUAGUCCCUCUCAUCUCUUAUAAAUGUUUCCCUGUUGUGUCAUUGCAUUGGCUAGGACUAUGUCUGAAUUUAUAUUAUAGAUAUUAGUACGUCACUCUUUAGUUUUGAUGAUUCAUCUUCGACAAGGAAAAGCAACUUUCUUCAAAAACAUGUUCUACUUCAUGUUUGUAUAAGCAAAAUUCGCAUAUUCAAUUUUGAAAGCAUCAUGUGUAUGCUGCAUGAAACUGAAUUCGUAAUGCGAGUAUUUAAUAUCGUUGGUGUCUCCAUUAUUCAACAAUUGAAAUAAUAAGUAUACAACAUUUUCAGAAGUUAAUGCAUAAACUAUAAACUUUAACAAUGUUAAGCAAUACGACAUCAACAAAAAUACCAAAAUGACCGACGUCAUCAAUGUACACAAAUUUCUAAUCCCCCAUUACGACAAAUGAAAUGCCAAAAAUGUACUUUCCGAAUAAGUAUAAGCUAACAAGGUGAAUGGUUCACAUACCAUGACAUAAAACGUGUUCAGUGGGUAUUUUCUUAAAGGUAUAUGAGAAAUAUGUUUAUCUGUUAAUCAAAUUGUUUUGUAGAUAUGCUGUUUCCCAUCUUUUCUGUCUGGCUUUCUUUGAUUUAUACUUGUACAAUAACAAUAAGUAUGCUAUCUGUAUUAGCAGAACACUAUAAUUUAUAUGAUCAGACGACAGUUAAAAAUGCGAAUAGACAUAUCUGACUUUGGCACAUUCUUGAUGUAUUGGUACUUACAGUGGCGAGUCCAGAGGGUUCGGGGGUUGGAACCGCCCUUUUGGACGAUCAAUGCAUUUGAAUAGGUACAUAUAUUUGGAACUCCUGUAGCAGUUUCUCCUCGGUUGGAAUUCCAUUUUAAAAAUGGUUGAAUCCGCCCCAAGUCCAUUUCUAGGAACCUAGUUGUAUUAUAUAUUGGUACUAAAUAUCACCAUGCCAAAAAGAUUGAAUUUUAGGUAAUCUUUCAUGUCUUACGUUUUUGUUGAUAUGACCUGCAAAGCCACAGUAAACUUCACCUAAUAUUUAAUACAACCAGGGGCGGAUCCAGGAUUUUGGAAAGGGGGGCGAAUUUUUUUUUUUGACAUUUUUUUGGCUAAAAAAAUAAAAUAAGUGUAAAAUGCACUUUUAAAACGGUUCCUGGCUUUGGGCAUGUAUAUUUUAUAGUUGUGGUAAAGUGUAAGGGUUAAACAUUUUUGAUGCCGUACUCUCCCCAUUUUAAAGUGUCUAUUAUAAAAUGAUUGGAUAGAUCCAAAGCUAUGGACUAAUAUAUUUGAUGUGGACUUGUCAGUAAAAAAUUGAGAUGGAAAAUUCUCGUUUGUUGUAUGUUUAGUUAGUAUAACCUCACAAAUUUCUUGUUGUAAACAAGAUUUACGCUGAGGUAUUCAAUGAAAUUUACAAUAUGACCGACCCGAGUUAAGACACAAACAAGCAAUUUCUAUAUCAAAAUGUUUCCAAAUUUGAAAUGUUUCAGCCAACAAGAGAAGUGAGGGGUUCCAACUCAACCAAAGGAUACGAAUGAGUCUGAAAUGACAACGAAUUUAUGAAUUAUGGUCGAUAAAGGCCACACGAAGCAGGUUGGUUGUAGCCGGGCCUUGAAAAAAGUGUUCAAUAUAUCUGUUCGGCGAAACAGACUUUCCGGUCAGAUAUGGGAUUUACAUGCAAACCCCCGGCCCCCCAAAAACUACGUCCGUUUAUAAUUCAUCAUGAUCAUUUAAUGCUAAAUAUUUCUGUUGGAAAUUUUUGUUCCUAAUGGCAAAUAAGUGGACAAGAUUAUUGUUUUCAAUCAAUUCAAUUUUUGUUUAAGGCAAAAAUCAGGCUAAGAAUAGUUUCUCUCAAACAUCGCAGACUGCCACCUCAAAUCAAAUGGUCCGUACCUUAGACUUUAAAUCUAUCUAGAGCUUACUGACUGCAUGGGGAUCAUUAUUCAGCUAUGUUAUUAAUAGACUGCAGGGCGUGUGGGGUUAACAUGUUUUCGUAGGUAAAUAAUAUUGCAGUGAAUCUUUUUUUUUCAUGAGAGUGUAAUAGAGUAUUACUUUCUGUUUGGUGGAAUUGUGAAAUAGAAGUCAACUAGUCUACGUUCUUGUUCAAUUCUUUGUCGCUUUAAAGGUGUCAUGCCACGGGGGGUCUCAACAUGGGAUUUUGGGUACAGGUGUGCAGCUGGGAUUUUAAAAACACCCCCCCCAUUCAUAUAUUGAAUAAUGUGAAAUCCUACCUAUAAUAUAUUUACAGCGAAAUCAUAACCCAUUCAUAUAUUUAUCAGCUCAAAUAGUACCUAUAUGCAUAUCUGAUAUACAAUCGUCAAUUACUACCUAUUGAUAUAUUCCUCGGUAAAUGCACCCAUUGAUAUAUUGACGGAUCAAAAAGGGCCCAUUCAGCGGCACAUAUGUAUAUACUUUAUAUAGGAAGAGACCCCCCCUUCCCCCCGUGUGUCAUGCGUGUCAUCCUUGAUGACCAGCAUACGCAAUGUGCUACUGUAAUUUGAAUUUGGAAAUGACUUGAGUGACGUUUUUUCGACGCACUGGUUAACUCCACCGUAGCAAAUCACAUGACUUUGACAUAACCAAUAAUUACAGUUUAUCGGUAAUUUGUAUAUUUUUCUUUAUUGUACUGUGAUAAUGUCAGUAUCAGUGGACUGCCGUGAUUUAAAAUUGGGUUAGUGCAAUUGACAUGCGCGAAUACAACGCGUAAGGAUCUACUUUCCCCUUUCAUUCACAAAAUUGCGCGUGAUUUUUUUCGCAGAAACGCACGAGAUUUUUAGCGAAUGAAACACUUUACAUUGUUUGAAACUUUUACAAAGUUAGUUUAGCCUUUUGAACGAUUGAUUCAAAAUGUAAACAAAAAUGCAUGAAAAGCGAUAGACUUUUAAAAAAAAAUGAGUUAUCUAUAAUUGAUAUAUUAAUACAUGACUAACAUUAUUAUAUCGUCCAUGAUGUUCCAAUCGAGUUUUAUGCAUACAAUACCAAUCAUAGCCGGGUGCUGUUCCAAGUAGUUUUCUUUUUCUGUUUCUUGAGAAGUAUUUGUUUUACCUGUUCAGUCACUAUAAAGUGUUACAAUUCAUAUUUAAACGCAACACAUAAAUAGUGACCAAAAAGGUACCGCUAUCGCAUGAGAGAAGCUAGAAAAUAAUGGUCAAUUUAAAGACAGAUAUUCAUAGAACAAAAAACCAAAAAGUGAACUUAUUCAUUUGCGGAUCUACAUGUAGGAUAAAUUUUAAAAAGGGGGGUAACCGGGGUCACCAAACUAUACAUGUAUAAAGGUCUGCUUUGACCUGAAUUGUAGCCUUUAUAAGCUAAGAGGUGACUGACACGGGUCGCCUUCCCUAAAUUCGCAUAAGAAAUUAAAGGUAACCACAGGGACUGUAAACUCCAAUUUUCAUAAUUUCUGGUCCGUGUUGAAAAUAGAUGAACAAGACUUUGACAAAAGCAAGAAUUAUAUUAAGCUAAAAGUUUAGUGACGUCUAUUAAAAUGUUUGAAAUAAUUAUGAAGUAGACAAGAAAUUAGCUUGUUCAGAUAAUUUACAAAUAACUUUAACAGUCACUCAGCUCCUAAAAUGUCUCCUCACAUAGUCCAAAUAAUCAUGAUGAAAAAAUAUAAUAGACUUUCAAGACGUCAUAAUUAUUUGGACUACUCCCCAGUGCUUUCUUAAAAUUAUUUGAAAUCAAUGUGAUCGUUUUCAUGAUGAACACUGUCACUGAGCGAAUAAUGACAAGAUAAAUGUUAUUGUAUCCACUAAACUAAGUAAAAUAUAAUUAUAAUAACUUGUCGUUGAACUUAAAAAUGAUGAUCGAUGAACAAUCUGCUUAUUCAUAUCGUAUCAUUCUAAUGUUCUGACUUACUAUGCUCGAGGGGGGUCAUGGAUGCAUGGAUAGGACCUUUAUCGGGACUUCGGGAUCAGGUGUUUUUAAGCUCGUGAUUUCGGGAUGUCGGGAUUUACUUUAUUUAAAAUCGGGACCUCGUGAUUUCGUGUUUUUAAACGGGCCGGGAUUUCGGGAUCAGGAACCCUCCUAUCCCCCUCUAUGUUGAUGCUUUGUGAAAAAUACAGAAAUUUUACUUACCGGUAUGCUACCAUUAUAUUUGCCAUCGUUAGAGUCAUGUCCAAAGCAGAAUAUUAAUGAAACACAUGCAAUAAUUCCUUCAAAUCUUUAACUUUGUGCAAGAGAACGCCAUGUUUACUGCACUGUGACAAAAUUUAAAUGACGUAAUGCAGCCUGUGACGUCAAGUGUGAUUCGCCGUGAUCCAACGCGAAAAAGAAGUUCGUUUGUUAUUUUCUCUAUUAUUGUAGUGAUUUUUAAUUUUUUUUAAAUUACCGAUAAACAGAAUAAAGGACUUUUUGUUUUUGAUACUGACUUUAUCACAGAAAAUAUCAGGCUCGCCCUUCGGGCUCACCUGAUAUUUUACUGUGAUAAAGUCAGUAUCAAAAACAAAAAGUCCUUUAUUCUAUAUAUAUAGGAGCAAAAUAUACCUUUAUAAGUAACGAAUUGUCGCAUAAAAACAAAAUACACGGGCAAUGACAAAUUUCACGAAGUCUAUAGUCUAUUUGAUUUUUUUACAAAGUCCAAACACAAAAGGGGGCGUACGCCCUCUACGCCCCCCCCCUCUGAAUCCGCCACUGUAGAUGGAAAAGGGUAUUUAUAAGCCCAAGAGUUAUCACACUUCAUUAUAAAUAAAGUGGAGUUUUUAUUACGUCGUCUUUCAUGUCACAGGAAACGAUAUAAGCAUAUGAUGGUCUUAUAUUUGUGAACUAGUUACGUUGUUAAGUCCGCUUGGCUCAAUUUUAGACCAAACAUUUCCACAGGUCUGCGUAUCUUCAUCAAGAUGCACUUGCGGUAGCCAACGACGUUUUACGACGCAGACUUUUGAGAAAAAGUCCAGAGCACUUUUUUUUGCGAUUUAUCCAUGCAUUUUGUUUACUUAUAAAUGAACUAAAUGAUCAUAAGGUAAAGACCACACAUACUGCUUCUGAAAUGAUUGGACGAUAUUCUCAUAUUCUCAUUUUGUUACAUUCGGAUACCUCUAUGUGUACAUGCAAUUAUGUUUUUAUUUAUUUUUUAUUAUUUGUAUUUAUCAAAAUGAUAUGUGGAUGCCUGAGCAUCUGAGCAUACAUGUAAGCUACGCCACUUGCUUUUAGUUUUAGUGUUACUGUGUAUAUGACCAAUGAAUGGCUCCUUUAAGAGACUGAGUUAUUGCCCUUUAAUAAGGAUUUUUAGACUUGAUUUUCAAGUUUUUUCCUUUUGCAUUAUAAAUGCACACAAUAAUUUCUAAAUUUACAAUAUGUGAUCACAGAUUGCACAGUUGUGACAGUGAUUUAUAAUAGUAUAUGAAUUUUAAAGUUAUAAUUUGUUCUCACUUGGUUGUUUUGAUAAUUUUCUUUCUUUCUAUUUUAGGUGUAUAUCCCGCUGUACAAUCAGACUAUCGUAGCAACCGUAGACAAAAUAGACAUAAAACCUAUUAUCCUGCCUAUCAAGCAAAUAAAGGGUAUAAUAGACAAUUUCC